GUGCCAGCCGCCGCGGUAAUACGGAGGGUGCAAGCGUUGUCCGGAUUUAUUGGGUUUAAAGGGUGCGCAGGUGGUUUAUUAAGUCAGUGGUGAAAGACGGUCGCUCAACGAUUGCAGUGCCAUUGAAACUAGUAGACUUGAGUAAAGUAGAGGUGGGCGGAAUUGAUAGUGUAGCGGUGAAAUGCAUAGAUAUUAUCAAGAACUCCAAUUGCGUAGGCAGCUCACUUGGCUUUUACUGACACUCAUGCACGAAAGUGUGGGUAUC
This 265-nucleotide ribosomal RNA is filed under the name uncultured Sphingobacteriales bacterium. Its description in RNAcentral is "partial 16S ribosomal RNA". It matches the Rfam family "Bacterial small subunit ribosomal RNA", at positions 505 to 769 of the family's 1533-position model. The record is from RNAcentral. Lineage: Bacteria; Pseudomonadati; Bacteroidota; Sphingobacteriia; Sphingobacteriales.